GAUGAACGCUGGCGGCGUGCCUAAUACAUGCAAGUCGAGCGAACAGACGAGGAGCUUGCUCCUCUGACGUUAGCGGCGGACGGGUGAGUAACACGUGGAUAACCUACCUAUAAGACUGGGAUAACUUCGGGAAACCGGAGCUAAUACCGGAUAACAUGUUGAACCGCAUGGUUCAACAGUGAAAGACGGUCUUGCUGUCACUUAUAGAUGGAUCCGCGCCGCAUUAGCUAGUUGGUAAGGUAACGGCUUACCAAGGCAACGAUGCGUAGCCGACCUGAGAGGGUGAUCGGCCACACUGGAACUGAGACACGGUCCAGACUCCUACGGGAGGCAGCAGUAGGGAAUCUUCCGCAAUGGGCGAAAGCCUGACGGAGCAACGCCGCGUGAGUGAAGAAGGUCUUCGGAUCGUAAAACUCUGUUAUUAGGGAAGAACAAAUGUGUAAGUAACUAUGCACGUCUUGACGGUUCCUAAUCAGAAAGCCACGGCUAACUACGUG
This 497-nucleotide ribosomal RNA is filed under the name uncultured bacterium. RNAcentral describes it as "partial 16S ribosomal RNA". It matches the Rfam family "Bacterial small subunit ribosomal RNA", at positions 28 to 507 of the family's 1533-position model. The record is from RNAcentral.